This 372-nucleotide ribosomal RNA is filed under the name uncultured organism. RNAcentral's name for it is "bacterial SSU rRNA". It matches the Rfam family "Bacterial small subunit ribosomal RNA", at positions 526 to 896 of the family's 1533-position model. The record is from RNAcentral.
CGGAGGGUGCAAGCGUUGUUCGGAUUUAUUGGGCGUAAAGGGCGUGCAGGCGGUUUCGCAAGUCUGAUGUGAAAGCCCCGGGCUUAACCCGGGAAGUGCAUCGGAAACUGCGAGACUUGAGUACGGGAGAGGGCAGUGGAAUUCCCAGUGUAGGAGUGAAAUCCGUAGAUAUUGGGAGGAACACCGGUGGCGAAGGCGGCUGCCUGGACCGAUACUGACGCUGAGACGCGAAAGCGUGGGGAGCAAACAGGAUUAGAUACCCUGGUAGUCCACGCCGUAAACGAUGAGCACUAGGUGCUGCGGGUAUUGACCCCUGCAGUGCCGCAGCUAACGCAAUAAGUGCUCCGCCUGGGAACUACGGUCGCAAGACUA